UCUCUUGUUUUUUGGUUUUAGGUGAGAGUCUACAAUCUUCUCCAGUAUGAGCAUGGACCAGAGGAUGUACUGAUCUUAGCUACUGAUGGACUCUGGGAUGUAUUAUUAAAUGAAGAAGUGGCAGAAGCUGUCACAAACUUUCUACCAAACUGUGACCCUGAUGAUCCCCACAGGUACACGUUAGCAGCUCAGGACCUGGUGAUGCGAGCCAGGGGAGUGCUGAAGGACAGGGGCUGGAGAAUAGCCAAUGACAGACUGGGCUCAGGAGAUGACAUUUCAGUCUAUGUCAUUCCUUUAAUACAUGGAAACAACUUGUCAUGAGAAUAGCUCUGACGAUGCUGGGAGGAUGGUCUUUUUAGGAGGAGCCUUUGAAAAGACAUGAUUUUCAGAUCUGACCAGGACAGUUCUGAUUGAUGUAAAUUAAUCUAAAUUCAUGCUGGAAGGGGAUGUUUCAGUCCAAAAGGUGGAGCUCUGCACAUAUUCUGUAUGUGGUUAAAGGUAUCUCUUAAGCUUACACCUUCUCUGUAUUAAUGGUUUUUGGUGCUUAAAAGGAAUGGAAGUUAAAUGCUGCUAGUAUAUUAUGGAUUGAUGGUUCCCUGUAUUGUCGCUCCAGGUGAGGAGCCCAUUGUAACCUGAAACAGAACUUAAUCUUUUUCAGUUUUACCAUAAGGCUUGGAACAGGCCAUUCUCAGUUGUGAAAACAGAUAUUGGGAUUGAAAGCCAGUUGGCUCUCAACAUCCCCAAGAUUACUGGUGUCAUUUCUUUGGGAUCAGUCAUUUAAAAAAGAAAGUUAAACCU
Molecule: non-coding RNA, 798 nt
Organism: Pelodiscus sinensis (Chinese soft-shelled turtle)
Lineage: Eukaryota; Metazoa; Chordata; Testudines; Trionychidae
Source: RefSeq, a predicted model, not a curated record